CGCUGGUCCCCUCGCAACGAUAAACCGUGAAUCUGGUCAGGUCCGGAAGGAAGCAGCCACAGCGGUGGACUCGUGUGCCGAGGUGAGGCUGGUGGAG
Non-coding RNA from Marinomonas aquimarina, 97 nucleotides. It matches the Rfam family "Bacterial small signal recognition particle RNA". From Rfam's summary of the family: The signal recognition particle (SRP) is a universally conserved ribonucleoprotein involved in the co-translational targeting of proteins to membranes. Archaeal SRP consists of a 7S RNA and homologues of the eukaryotic SRP19 and SRP54 proteins. Lineage: Bacteria; Pseudomonadati; Pseudomonadota; Gammaproteobacteria; Oceanospirillales; Oceanospirillaceae. The record is from Rfam.